Molecule: ribosomal RNA, 446 nt
Filed under: uncultured bacterium
Lineage: Bacteria
Description: partial 16S ribosomal RNA
Rfam family: Bacterial small subunit ribosomal RNA
Source: RNAcentral
CCUACGGGAGGCAGCAGUCGAGAAUCAUUCACAAUGGGGGAAACCCUGAUGGUGCGACGCCGCGUGGGGGAAUGCAGGUCUUCGGAUUGUAAACCCCUGUCAUGUGGGAGCAAAUUAAAAAGAUAGUACCACAAGAGGAAGAGACGGCUAACUCUGUGCCAGCAGCCGCGGUAAUACAGAGGUCUCAAGCGUUGUUCGGAAUCACUGGGCGUAAAGCGUGCGUAGGCUGUUUCGUAAGUCGUGUGUGAAAGGCGCGGGCUCAACCCGCGGACGGCACAUGAUACUGCGAGACUAGAGUAGUGGAGGGGGAACCGGAAUUCUCGGUGUAGCAGUGAAAUGCGUAGAUAUCGAGAGGAACACUCGUGGCGAAGGCAGGUUCCUGGACAUUAACUGACGCUGAGGCACGAAGGCCAGGGGAGCGAAAGGGAUUAGAUACCCCAGUAGUC